GAAAAGAAUCAAUUCAUUUCGGAGGAAGAUCUGGACUUAAAAAAAAUCAAUUUUGUUAUAACUGAACAAAAAUAUUAUAAUAUAAAAUAUAAGACUAAUUUAAAAAGAAGGGGUUUACGAGAAAGGCCGAUAAGAAAAACUCAAUAUAUGUUACAAUUACAAUAUUUUUAUAUAUCUUUGAUGACGGUUUGAUGGUAACAACAGCAUAUCGGCGGCGCCUGAUGUCGGUGGUGACGACGACCACGAUGACGAUAACAUCGAUGACGCCUCAUAUUUUCAGAAUACGCGCGACUGACGCGGCGAUGGCAACAGCAGUAGCAACAGCAGCAAUAAUCUUAAUAACAAUAACAGCAACAGCAACGAUGACAAUAAUAUAAUGAUAGUAUUGUGUAAGUAACAAUUAUAGCAGUAUAUAAUAGACAUGACGAUAAUGAUGAUAAUAAUAUUUUUACUAAUGAGAAUAGAGUGAUCAUUCCAAAGUUCCGGAUGCAACGCUUUAGAGAGAUUUUUUCUUUUUAUUUGAAUAAACUUGAUGAUGAGUGGCAACUAUCUAAUCUAGGAAAAUAAAUCUUAUUUUUUUUAAAUUAUAAUUUUAUUAUAAAAUUCUGACAGAAGAUAAAUCAAUAUUAAUAUCAUACUUAUUUCUGUUUUUUGAAAGAAAAUAAUAAAAAGCAUUAUUUUGAAUUAUUGAUAUGAAAUUAUUGGUCAAAACUAUUAGAAUAAUUAGAUAAAAGAUAUUUCCGUAGAAAAAAUUAUAUCUUCGGUUUAUUCUAGUAAAGUAUAAAAUCCGGCAUCAUGGAAUGACCCCGAUAUCUUGUGCUGAUACUAUGCUUCUAACAUGUAUGAACGAGCAAGAUGACUCCGAACUUUUGGAAUCAGGAAAAAUUUUUUGUAAAAAAUGUUAGCAGAAAAUUGAAACAAAAUUCGUCUUGAUUAUUAUUAAGAUGCAGAAAUUCGUAACGUCAUAAUACGUUUACUCGUAUAAAAUUCAAAUUGAAUUUUAUAAAGAUAUAUAAAAAAGAUUUUUUUUUAUUGUAAAGAUAUAAAUUUAAAAUGAAUUAGAGAUUUCCAUUAAAAAUUAUCCGCACAUUGUAGUAUAUAAAUGAAAUGUCUACAGAAUUUACUCUACAAUAAUCAUCUUCUUCCAAAAGCAUUCAAAAAGUUCGGAGAACACUUGCAGACUCGGAUAUUGUCGUCAUCGUAGAUGCGGUCACCACCGCCAACGUCUUCAAGCGUCGUCAUCGCGAGCGCAGUUAGUAAUUACUAAUUAUCGCUUUCUUCGCUUUUUUUCCCUUCAGUUUCGCAUUUAUCACACUUAAAAUAAACGGGGUGUUUGAGGAAUGUGCGCGGAUGCAGAGUCAGCGAUGCAUUGCGAUGAAUCUCUCUGAAUCAGCAAGAGCUCAGGAAAGAGGAAAGAGUGGAAGGACUAUACGCGACGCGCGCGUUCACUGUCGCUUAUUACAUUGAUGAUGGAUAAAAAAUUUCGUAGAAUUGAAUGAAUCGUGAAAUAAAUACAGGAAUAAAAGGGAUUCGUGAAAGAAUUUCCAGUGAUUCCCAAGAGAUCGAGUAUUGGCUAUUAUUAUAAUUUUUUGUGCUUCACUAUUUGCAUCUGCGAAAAUACAGUUGCUUAAAAUUAAACAUUACACCAAUAUAUUUCCUUUUAAAAGAUGUCAAAAAAAAUACACUAAUAUAAAGAUGUGCUUAAUUUUCUUUGUUAAAAAAUAAAACAGAGAAGGGAGAAAAAAGUAAAGAAGAAAGUAGAAAACGAAUACAAAAAAGAAAAUAGUAGAAAAAGAUUUAGAAGGAAUGAAGAUAAACACAAUGAGAAAAAUGGUUGUGAAGAGAAAUUGUUGAAACACACACAAUUACGAAAUGUCUCCUGUGAUAAUAAAAACAUUAUCAGAGAAUCACUGGAUUAAGAAGGAUAUGUGUUCCGAUGAGCCUAGUUUUGCGAGAAUAAUAUCGAUACUAUGAAGCACAAGUUUUUCAUCAAAAUGGUGUGGAACUGCAAGUGCGUAUAUGCACGAGACUUUGUCUAAUAUAUAUGCGUAUGUUUAUAUGUUUGCGUGUAUGUGUAUGCGCGCCUCGCAACGAUAUAUACUAACAUACAAGCCACUGACUCCGCUCACUUUCAGUAACACUAAGUAAAUGCUAUGGCAUCAUGAUAAUCACCGAAGGUGUCCUUAUAUCAAAAUCGUUAGAUAAUAAUUAUAUAUAUACAUAUAUAUAUAUAUGUAUACAUAUGUAUACAUAUGCAUAUAUACAUAUAUAUACACACGAACGAUUAGCGCGCGCCUGUUUCGCUUGAUACUCGGAUAUGGUCAAUUCGUACAUGUUUUCACCGUGUUCACCGUUGAAUCCCUUAAUCUCGCUUCUCUAUCUACUUGAAAAGAAAGUGCAAUAAAAAAAGAACAAAGCAAGUAGCUGGAACAAACCUAAGAUAUCCGUAUCUCACAUUCAUUUUUCCAACUUAUUUAUCUCAUAUGUAAGAUUAUAAAGUAUAAAGUUAAUCCGGAUAACUAUAAUUAUUAAGAAAUAAUUAUUAAUUUUAUUAUUAAGAAAAAUGUUACGAUAUCAGAUUUAGUAUCGCAUUUAUUAAUUAUGUUAUCUCCAAAGACAAUAAAGUGUCAAAUGUGAGAUACAAAUACAAACUUUAGUACGCUUGAGUGAGUCAUUAUUGAAAAUCACUUCCAAUUUUUCUCUCAUAGAAAAGUAUAGUCAAAAAUGGUUUUUAAGGCAUGAGAACCAAUUGCAGAAAACAAUAUUUAUAGAUUUCACAUUAUAAAAUAGAUAAUUAAGAUUUUCGCAAUUUUGUGAGCAGUAUGACCGCUUUUUAAUCUGAUAUAAAUAAAUUAUAAGAACAAUUUAUAAAUAAUCAAUAGCUAUCGGAUAGAAGAAUAUGUUUUUGCAAUCGGUUCAAAAACUAUUCAACCUUAACUGAUAUGAUGGAAUUCUGUAUAAUGUGAUAUGAGACUAUAUAUUAAUUUCUUUGUUUUAUGCAAGUUUAAGCCACUGACGUAUCGAGUGCCCACAACAUAUCAAUCAGUACAAAUUUCAUCAUUAACAAAAACUUUUUCACUUUUGUUCUUUCCAUGUAAGACAAGUCUAAUUUUUUCGAAUAUAUAUAUCUUAAUAUAUCUUUUUUGCUCAGUUCUAGGAACAUCCGAAUGGGUGAUUCGUUUUUGCCAUAUCCGUUAAGGGAUUAUAUGUACAUUAAGCUUGACGCAUCGACGGUGACCGCGGGGCAUUCGUAAGAUACGUAUUAUCAUCGGGCGAAAGGCAACGUACAUCGCAUUGAUUAAUAUUUUAUAUAUUUAUCUAUAUAUAUAUAUAUACGUAUUGUAAUUAUGCUAUAAGACUAGAUUCUCGGCGGAAUACAUCUCUCAUACUCUCACAUUGUUCCGACUCUUCCUCAAUGUUUGCCUCAAUGUUAACCAUAUAAUUCUAUCCACUUCGCUGUGUUUUACGACAAUGAGGCGCCGUCAAUUGUUUAUUCGCCGAACGCCGUUCGCCGCCGAUGGAUUAAAUCACUAUUGUCCCACGCGAUGUGCUGACACAUAACUUACAGAGUUACAUACAUACUUAGACACCGUAGUCCUUAGAUACGUACAUAGCUAUAGAUAUUCCUGGCUGAUCCUUGGAAUAGGUCGUUCACACUUAAAUUGUCUUUGCUUUGUUUCAUUCAAUCGCUUCACGAUGAUCAGUUUUAUUAUGGAAAACAACGGAACUAUGAAUGAAUUUGUAAUUAUUCUAGUAGAUCAGGAAGAACAAGC
Molecule: long non-coding RNA, 3773 nt
Organism: Wasmannia auropunctata (little fire ant)
Lineage: Eukaryota; Metazoa; Arthropoda; Insecta; Hymenoptera; Formicidae
Exons: 2
Source: RefSeq, a predicted model, not a curated record